Triticum dicoccoides is the source of this 2207-nucleotide long non-coding RNA. RefSeq lists it as uncharacterized. Lineage: Eukaryota; Viridiplantae; Streptophyta; Magnoliopsida; Poales; Poaceae. The record is from RefSeq and is a predicted model, not a curated record. The transcript is spliced from 2 exons.
AUAACAUCAAUAACAAAAUGGGGCCCCUAAGUUUUGGAUUAAUGUCAAAGAAGAAGCAAGUGCAGACCUGUGGAGUUGCCAAUCUUUUGACUUUUUGAGGCUACUCAAAGUUGUCCUCCGCAACAGAGAUGCUGCUAUAGAGAUGCAUUUGAGAAACCAACACCCAAGCAUAUGAGAUGCACCAUAUUUCAGCACCAACCCCAUGUUGUGGAAAGCCUUUUUCAACGGUUACCAAUUUGUUUGUUUUCCUAACAAAUGUGUUGAUAGCAGCUCUAUCCGGUGGUCUAAUUGACUGAUGGUUGAUCACAUGUUAACAAAUAUUAGAGAAUAAUAAGAACAUACUAAUGGAUGUAGUCAAAAAACGUAACAUAAUUGUACUGCAUAAUGUGUUUUGCAAAAGGUACCUCAGCACUGAUUCCCUCCUUGGAAAGUAUAUCUGCAGCCUGAAAAUUGACUGAGCAUAAUGUAACCAGAACAGUAGAUCAAGAAUUUUAUGUACAAUGUGAAAUGAUCAUCGAUGCUAAUUAAACAAAUGCAUUCACAUCUCAAACACAACUGAUUUCUUAAAAACUUUGUCCCGUUCAAUCAAUGGCUCCAAAAUGAGAUCUCUUAAGCACUGCAGAACAACAAGGAAAUUUCAUCUUUUUUUUUCUUGCUUUAUAAGAAUGUAGUAAUCAUGAGGGUUCUUGACCACAGCCACUGAUGACGAAGACAAUUAUUUUGUGUCAGUCAUCUAGUAACAAAAAUGAAAGAGGCAUAUGAGAAAUAUGCAUAGAUUGAUAGAUAAGCAGAAUACGUAGUCAUUAAAAAAAGAAAGCAAAUGAACGGGAUUGAUCCUUCUUGAUUCUAAAAAAGCGACAACUCCCUCGCGUCGUCUCUCCGAGGCGACCCGGGGGCCCCAAAUCCCUCCACCGCCGGCCGGCAAUCUGCUUCUCCCCUGCCGCCGCUGCCGCCGGCCCUUGCCGCGGUGGCGGCGGGCCCCGUUCCUCGAAGGGGAGGGGGACCUCCGGCCGAUGCGUGGGGCGCGGCGGCGGAUCUUGGGCCCCGGGGCGGCGGCCUCGGUCUUGGCGACGACGGCUGCUGCGGCUGCUUGGGCGGCGCGGUGGUUGGGCCUGGGCGCGGUGCUGCUGCGGCCAUGCUGGGUGCUCGCGGUGGAGGAAGCUCGGUCCUCCUGCUGCACGACGUUCUUCGGCGCGACGACUCCGGCGACUUCGCGGCCUUGCGUCGCCGAGGUCCUUCUCCAGCUGGCCUAGGCGGGGUGGCAGCCCCCUGGUCUGCCUGUGCGAGCUCGUCCCCGUGGCCGGCUUGUCGAUGGUGUUGCCGGCUCGUCGGAUCGGCUUCGGCGGGAUCUGACCGGCUGUGGUCGGUUUUGGUUUUCUGCGUCCACGGACGACGAGGGAGGAGGUGGCUCUGGCGCGGCGGUGGCGUGUUCGCGGCGUCGGAGGUGUGCGGGCCAGCGGAGUGCUCUGCGUGGGACUGUUGUUCGUGCUGCUCCAGGUGAAAGCCUAGCCGAUGCUCGCAGGCCGGCGGCGGCGGCGCCUGUGGGCGUCGCUUUCCUCCUUGGAGGCGCCGUCGAGGAGUUUCUGCACUUCCUCAGCUCUCGGGUUAAGAUCUACGGGCGAAAGUCAUGAUCCUGUUCGAUCGGGCGGCGGCGGCAUCUUCAAUGUCGUUUUCCCUCUUUGGGGCGUCGUCUUGGAGAUCUUGGCCCCUUUUGUGCUUCCUGCAGGCUGGACGUGCGCGGCAUCACGGUUGGCCGGUGUGCAACUGGUGAUGCGUGUGGUUGGCGUUGCGACUCGUGUGAUGACGACGAUGAUGGCGUGCGAAGCUGGGUCGCGGCUUGCCCUUCUGAUGUCGACGGUCCGGUGCGCCAAUGGGUGUGCCUAUGCUGGCUUCUGGCUGUGACAGAGAAGUCGGAGCUGCGUGCGAUGCCUCUGCGGCAACGAUGACUCCAUGAGGGCGGUUUUUAGCGGGCGGUGCUCUCCGGAUGAUGCGCUGGACUAGGUCGGCGCGAGGCUUGCAACUUUUUUCUGUGAAGCAUUUCAGCAAAAUCGGAGCUGCCAUGUCCUCGACGCUUCGGUCGACCGUUUGGCUUGUCUGUGGCCAGGUCGGCUGUGUGUGCCCCGUGUGGGGUUGUAUCUGGGUUUUCGCCCGGUUUUCCUCUAAUUAACCGGACAAAUCUCUUCUUCUUAAUCAAUGAAAAUGGCAAA